This 327-nucleotide ribosomal RNA is filed under the name uncultured eukaryote. RNAcentral describes it as "partial 18S ribosomal RNA". It matches the Rfam family "Eukaryotic small subunit ribosomal RNA", at positions 1470 to 1796 of the family's 1831-position model. The record is from RNAcentral.
CCCUUAGAUGUCCUGGGCCGCACGCGCGUUACACUGAUGCAUUCAACGAGCUUAUAACCUUGGCCGAGAGGCCUGGGCAAUCUUUUGAACUUGCAUCGUGAUAGGGAUAGAUUAUUGCAAUUAUUAAUCUUGAACGAGGAAUUCCUAGUAAACGCAGAUCAUCAAUCUGCAUUGAUUACGUCCCUGCCCUUUGUACACACCGCCCGUCGCACCUACCGAUUGAAUGGUCCGGUGAAGCCUCGGGAUUGUGGUUAGUUUCCUUCAUUGGAAGUUAGCCGCGAGAACUUGUCUAAACCUUAUCAUUUAGAGGAAGGUGAAGUCGUAACA